This 468-nucleotide ribosomal RNA is filed under the name uncultured bacterium. RNAcentral describes it as "partial 16S ribosomal RNA". It matches the Rfam family "Bacterial small subunit ribosomal RNA", at positions 28 to 507 of the family's 1533-position model. The record is from RNAcentral.
GACGAACGCUGGCGGCGUGCUUAACACAUGCAAGUCGAACGGAAAGGCCCUGCUUUUGUGGGGUGCUCGAGUGGCGAACGGGUGAGUAACACGUGAGUAACCUGCCCUUGACUUUGGGAUAACUUCAGGAAACUGGGGCUAAUACCGGAUAGGAGCUCCUGCUGCAUGGUGGGGGUGGGAAAGUUUCGGCGGUUGGGGAUGGACUCGCGGCUUAUCAGCUUGUUGGUGGGGUAGUGGCUUACCAAGGCUUUGACGGGUAGCCGGCCUGAGAGGGUGAGCGGCCACAUUGGGACUGAGAUACGGCCCAGACUCCUACGGGAGGCAGCAGUGGGGAAUAUUGCACAAUGGGCGGAAGCCUGAUGCAGCAACGCCGCGUGCGGGAUGACGGCCUUCGGGUUGUAAACCGCUUUCGCCUGUGACGAAGCGUGAGUGACGGUAAUGGGUAAAGAAGCACCGGCUAACUACGUG